CCCUUAGAUGUUCUGGGCCGCACGCGUGCUACACUGACCGGCGCAACAAGCUUCUUUCCUUGACCGAUAGGUCUGGGUAAUCUUCGAACGCCGGUCGUGAUGGGGAUAGAUCCUUGCAAUUUUUGAUCUUCAACGAGGAAUUCCUAGUAAACGCGAGUCAUCAUCUCGCAUUGAUUACGUCCCUGCCCUUUGUACACACCGCCCGUCGCACCUACCGAUUGAAUGGUCCGGUGAAGCCUCCGGAUUGGCGCGCACCUCGGUGCCGCCGAGAAGUUGGCUAAACCUUACCAUUUAGAGGAAGGUGAAGUCGUAACA
RNAcentral lists this ribosomal RNA (315 nucleotides) under uncultured eukaryote. Its description in RNAcentral is "partial 18S ribosomal RNA". It matches the Rfam family "Eukaryotic small subunit ribosomal RNA", at positions 1470 to 1796 of the family's 1831-position model. The record is from RNAcentral.